AACUCUUAGCGGUGGAUCACUCGGCUCGUGAGUCGAUGAAUGAACGCAGCUAGCUCGAGAUAUAAUGUGAAUUGCAGGACACAUGAUCAUUGACACUUCGAACAGCAAUUUGCGGCCCCAGGUUCCUCUGGGGCUACGCCUGUCGAGGGUCG
This 152-nucleotide ribosomal RNA is filed under the name Oncorhynchus kisutch (coho salmon). Its description in RNAcentral is "5.8S ribosomal RNA (ENSOKIG00005019381.1)". It matches the Rfam family "5.8S ribosomal RNA". From Rfam's summary of the family: 5.8S ribosomal RNA (5.8S rRNA) is a component of the large subunit of the eukaryotic ribosome. It is transcribed by RNA polymerase I as part of the 45S precursor that also contains 18S and 28S rRNA. The record is from Rfam by way of RNAcentral. Lineage: Eukaryota; Metazoa; Chordata; Actinopteri; Salmoniformes; Salmonidae.